RNAcentral lists this ribosomal RNA (1019 nucleotides) under uncultured bacterium. RNAcentral's name for it is "bacterial SSU rRNA". It matches the Rfam family "Bacterial small subunit ribosomal RNA", at positions 37 to 1176 of the family's 1533-position model. The record is from RNAcentral.
UGGCGGCGUGCCUAACACAUGCAAGUCGAACGUGAAAGUCCUUCGGGAUGAGUAAAGUGGCGAACGGGUGCAUAACGCGUAGGAAUCUACCCUUGGGUGAAGGAUACCCUAGAGAAAUUUAGGCUAAUACUGCAUAAGCCGGGAAACCGGGAAAGGUGGCCUCUUUGCUACCGCACAAGGAUGAGCCUGCGUACUAUUAGUUAGUUGGUGAGGUAAAGGCUCACCAAGACGAAGAUGGUUAGCUGGCCUGAGAGGGUGUACAGCCACAAUGGGACUGAGAUACGGCCCAUACUCCUACGGGAGGNAGCAGUGGGGAAUAUUGCACAAUGGGCGAAAGCCUGAUGCAGCGACGCCGCGUGGAGGAUGAAGGUUUUCGCAUUGUAAACUCCUGUUAAGUGGGAAGAAAGACCCUGUGCUAAUACCACAGGGUGAUGACGGUACCACUAGAGAAAGCACCGGCUAACUUCGUGCCAGCAGUCGUGGUAAUACGAGGGGUGCAAGCGUUAUUCGGAAUAACUGGGCGUAAAGAGCGCGUAGGCGGCUUGUUAAGUCUGUUGUUAAAUAACCCGGCUUAACCGGGAAAUGGCAAUAGAAACUGACGAGCUAGAGGACAAGAGAGAGAAGUGGAAUUCUCGGAGUAGCGGGAUGAUCACUGGAUAUGGGAUUUGNAAAGCAGAUUCUGUGUCGAAGCUAACGCGUUAAGUGAUCCGCCUGGGGAGUACGGUCGCAAGAUUAAAACUCAAAGAAAUUGACGGGGGUCCGCACAAGCGGUGGAACAUGUGGUUUAAUUCGACACUACGCGAGGAACCUUACCUGGGCUUGACAUGUAAUUGUUACUGAUGGAAACAUCGGGUUCUGUGGGAAACCAUAGACUGUUACACAGGUGCUGCAUGGCUGUCGUCAGCUCGUGUCGUGAGAUGUUGGGUUAAGUCCUUUAACGAGCGCAACCCUUACCGUUAGUUGCUAUCCUGAAAGGGAGCACUCUAGCGGGACUGCCUGGGAAACCAGGAGGAAGGUGG